RNAcentral lists this ribosomal RNA (571 nucleotides) under uncultured archaeon. RNAcentral's name for it is "bacterial SSU rRNA". It matches the Rfam family "Archaeal small subunit ribosomal RNA", at positions 321 to 897 of the family's 1478-position model. The record is from RNAcentral.
CCCUUUGGGGGUCCACCAGGUGCGAAACUUUUCAAAUAGGCGAAAGCCUUACAGAGUUACUCGGAGUGAUUUCCUUUAAGGAGAUCUUACGACAGUUGUAAAAAUGGUGCCAAAUAAGGAGCGGGCAAGUCUGGUGUCAGCCGCCGCGGUAAUACUAGCACCCCGAGUGGUAGCGAUGAUUAUUGAGCCUAAAGCAUCUGUAGCAGAUUCGCCAAUUCUUCCGGUAAUUCCACAGGGUUAACAGAUGUUCUUCGGAAGAUACUACAUACCUAGGAGCUGGGAGAGGUAAGAGGUACUCAAUGUGUAGGGGUAAAAUCCCGUGAUCCCUUGAAGACCACCAGUGGGGAAGGCGUCUUGCCAGAACGCGCUUGACGGUGAGGGAAGAAAGCUCGGGGCUCGAACCGGAUUAGAUACCCGGGUAGUCCCAGCCGUUAACGAUGCACCCUUGGUGACAAGUCUAUUUUAAACCAACUCAGUGCCGCAGGGAAGCCGUGAAGCUAGCCUCCUCGGGAGUACGGUCGCAAGCAUGAAACUUAAAGGAAUCGGCGGGCGAGCACAAGGGCGAAUCGCG